AGCAGGGAAGGUAAGCCGAGCUCACAGUCGGCAGGGGCAGCAGCAGCAGCAGUAGCAGCAGCAGAGGCAGUGGUGGCUGUGGCGGCGGCGGCGGCGGCGGCGGCGGCGGAGACUGAGAAAGCCAGGCAGGGAGAGGAAGAGGGAGAGGGAGGGAUAGAGCCAAAAAGAGGAGAGCCAGACGAGAGCCAGAGAGCCAACAGCCCGCACCUACAUACACUGGGGAGACAGACAGACGGCCAGGAGGGCAGACACACAGACAGCUAGACACCCGCACAGCCCCAGCGCUACAAAGCGGAGGCACCAGAAGGCAGGAGGAGGAGAGAGGAGGGGAGGGGAGGGGAGGGGGCCUGGUGGGAGGGGGGAGAGAGAAAGGGAGAGAGGGAGAGAGAGAGAAGAGAGGAGAGAGAGAGAGGGAAGGAGGGAGGGAGGGAAGGAAAGGAGGGAGGGAAGGAGGGGGGAAAUCCAGCUACCACCACCCAAAGCCAACCUCUGCUUUCUGUCCUCAUUUCCUUUAUCCACCCAGCCCCGCGCCCGGAGGGAGGCUCUAGUCUAGCUAGACAGACAGCCACAGGGACAGACAGACGGUCAGGGAGAGAGAGAGGGGCGCUCAGGGGAGGAGGAUUUGGAAGAGGAGGAGGACUGCCUGCCGAGAGAAGAUUUUUCUCCCAGCAGCCGCCGAGAGCCCGCGUCGCCGGAAGAGAGCAGUCCCCCGGAGGCCCGGCCCGGCUCGGCUCGGCUUGGCAGGAGCGAGCCCCGGACGGAGCCCAGCAGUUCGAUGGGAGUUUGCCUGACCACCAACCCAGUGGCCUGGAGACUAGCAACUGGAGUUCAUUACAAAACACCUAAGGGGCCCCGGGCCAGGGGCGACACACGGCCGUUGUUGGAGACCACCCUGGGGACAGCAUUGGUGACAGGGGCCUCCUGCUGAGCCAGGACUGCCCCAGAAGCCUGCUCAGGUGCUGUCCACUCCCCCUGGCCUGGGGCCCUCACCCGGAGCUCCCCCUCUGAGGUGGCAAGACACACAACUCACACGCAGAGAAUCCAUCACUCUCGAAUCUCUUUACUCCAGGGCAUAAUUGCUCUUUCAGGUCAGUUGGAUAUCUAGGGGGAGGGGGAAGAUGGAAAACAUGGAACAUUAAGGGAGGUGGGGACUGGAGGAGCCUCAGAUUAGGUGGGGGUGGGGGCGCUGGUAACUCAGGGUGUUUUUCUUUCUUUCUUUCUCUCUAACAGAAAAUUCCAUUGUCAGAUCCCCAGCAGCACAGAGGGUGAGUCUUUCUUUUUUCUCCAGGGACACUACCCAGACCUGAGCAAGGGAGGGGCAGAUAGUGGAUCCUUG
RNAcentral lists this long non-coding RNA (1336 nucleotides) under Vombatus ursinus (common wombat). RNAcentral describes it as "lncRNA (ENSVURG00010007311.1)". The record is from RNAcentral. Lineage: Eukaryota; Metazoa; Chordata; Mammalia; Diprotodontia; Vombatidae.